Molecule: unclassified non-coding RNA, 297 nt
Filed under: Hevea brasiliensis (rubber tree)
Lineage: Eukaryota; Viridiplantae; Streptophyta; Magnoliopsida; Malpighiales; Euphorbiaceae
Source: RNAcentral
GCAGCCUCAUCAACAACCUCGUGUUGACCAGGUCAAUUACCUACACAGUCGAGGGAUGAUGGAGGGGAAUAUCUUCAAAGACAUUAAUGUUUCCGCAAGUCAGUCUAUGCAGCCACAAGGCAAUCUUGUUGAUCAAUGCAAGAUCCUAAAUUCAAGUGACAAUUUGCAAUUCAUGUUUGGGCCUCCAUUCAACUUACAGUCCACCAAUUACCCUGGAAGUCUGCCUGGCAUUGGAUGUGACACCACACCGAAGCAAGAUAUUCCAAUUUGGUACUAGCCAUGAUAUUGGUGAAACGU